RNAcentral lists this long non-coding RNA (712 nucleotides) under Homo sapiens (human). RNAcentral's name for it is "non-protein coding lnc-MTERF4-3:10". The record is from RNAcentral. Lineage: Eukaryota; Metazoa; Chordata; Mammalia; Primates; Hominidae.
CAGCCUCGUCUUACAGCGUGACUGCAAAGAAAAAGACUUUUGUUUUGCAAAAGAAAAGCAGCUCGGUGACUCCGUCCACAUCGCCACAGUUGAGUCAGAUGGCAGUGGCAGUCCUUUGCCAGUGGAAGGAGUUCCUGCUAAGGGGAGGUGCAGGAGCCCCUGCCCCCGUCUCUGUUUUGGAAGUGGUCCAUCACAGUUCCUUCUCAAUUUGUUGGGCCUCGAAGGGAGAAUUCUUUCUCUGGCUUUGGAGUCUAAGAACAGGUUUCUGCAUACUGCAGAAGCGUGGCUGACUGACAGCCUCACUGAUUCCGGGGAAUGGCGAGCUGUCAUCUCAUCCGCAGAGACACAGACUACACCUUCAGGAACUGCAGCUUGGAGUGUACUCCUUCUACUUAUGAAAAAAAGUUAACUAUAAAAUGGCCUCAGGCAGGUCCUUCAGGAGGUUUCCAGAAGAAGGCAUCAUUGUCACAGGAGGUGGCAGCUCCAUGUGUGUUACUGGGACACGAUGUGGAAGUGGAAGAAGGUGACAUGGAUGAUCCUGCCCCUGUGACUAAUUUAUUAUUGUGCAACUGCCAGUCCUGCGCAUUCCAGCUACGCUAAGCGCCCUGCCCAGGCACGUAACAAAACAUAGACCUGUUUUGAAGUGGCUUGUUACCCAAGGGUGCCUCACUCAUCUGCGCCACCAGGAAGAUGAACUGUGAGGGCUCCUAUA